This 661-nucleotide long non-coding RNA is filed under the name Mytilus galloprovincialis (Mediterranean mussel). Lineage: Eukaryota; Metazoa; Mollusca; Bivalvia; Mytilida; Mytilidae. The record is from RNAcentral.
AUUUCAACUUUACCAUUUAGAACUUGUUUAAUAGCUUCCUUGUGAGCAGCAACCCUCUAUCAAGAAAAUCAUGAUAGGAAAUGCAAGCACGGGAAUAUCUAUACCCCGUAUGCAGGUGCUGCUACUUAGAAAUGGAAAGUUCACAAUUGGAAAGCUGAAAUCAUCUCUUUUGUCGUAAAAUUUUUUUUUCAACCGACCCUCAUUUGUCAAUUUUUUAGAUGUAAGUCAAGAUAUGAGGCCGACUUAACUAUAUCUGUAGUAUCCUUUAUCUCUAGCUCGAUUGUCAUGAAAUAUGGGAAAUUAUUUAAUAUUCUUCAGAAGUUCAGAUUUCAUUUGUUAAAAAUGCAAUCACUCUAAUUAGGAAAUCCGAUUUGAUCAUUUUAAUGUACAUCUAUUCUAGCUUGUAUGCAACUUUGAAGAAAUAGUGUUAGUCUAAAGUGAUAUCUGUGUGUUCUAUUACAGAAAAUACCUCAGAAAUUAAGAGAUACACUACUGGUAUAUCAUUUGCAGUUAUAACAGAUGUCAUGCUUUGGAUCAUGUUUGUCAUCAUAAAAAAUAUUAAUUGCUUAGUAUUUAAUAAUCAUAUUUAUUGUGUAUUUAGUAUUUAAUUAUUGUUUAAAUAUGUUAUUGUAUAUUUUACACAUUCUAGUUUUAUUUUUGC